This 469-nucleotide ribosomal RNA is filed under the name uncultured bacterium. Its description in RNAcentral is "bacterial SSU rRNA". It matches the Rfam family "Bacterial small subunit ribosomal RNA", at positions 50 to 507 of the family's 1533-position model. The record is from RNAcentral.
CCCUCAUGCAAGUCGAGCGGCAGCGGAAAGUACCUUGCUACUUUGCCGGCGAGCGGCGGACGGGUGAGUAAUGUCUGGAAAACUGCCUGAUGGAGGGGGAUAACUACUGGAAACGGUAGCUAAUACCGCAUAACGUCGCAAGACCAAAGAGGGGGACCUUCGGGCCUCUUGCCAUCAAAUGUGCCCAGAUGGGAUUAGCUAGUUGGCGGGGUAACGGCCCACCAAGGCGACAAUCAGUACCCGGUCUGAGAGGAUGAACGGCCACAUUGGAACUGAAACACGGUCCAAACUCCUACGGGAGGCAGCAGUGGGAAAUCUUCCGCAAUGGGCGCAAGCCUGACGGAGCACCGCCGCGUGGGUGAAGAAGGGUUUCGGCUCGUAAAGCCCUGUUGUCGGGGACAAAUGUCAGUGACUAGAAUAUGGUUAUUGAAUGACGGUACCUGACAAGGAAGCCACGGCUAACUACGUG